RNAcentral lists this ribosomal RNA (253 nucleotides) under uncultured bacterium. RNAcentral's name for it is "partial 16S ribosomal RNA". It matches the Rfam family "Bacterial small subunit ribosomal RNA", at positions 524 to 776 of the family's 1533-position model. The record is from RNAcentral.
UACGUAGGGGGCCAGCGUUGUCCGGAAUCAUUGGGCGUAAAGCGCGCGUAGGCGGUCAGGUAAGUCCGGUGUGAAAGUCAAAGGCUCAACCUUUGAAUGCCGCUGGAUACUGCUUGACUUGAGUCCGGAAGGGGCGAGUGGAAUUCCUGGUGUAGCGGUGAAAUGCGCAGAUAUCAGGAGGAACACCAAUAGCGAAGGCAGCUCGCUGGGACGUUACUGACACUAAGGCGCGAAAGCGUGGGGAGCGAACAGG